Molecule: ribosomal RNA, 496 nt
Filed under: uncultured bacterium
Lineage: Bacteria
Description: partial 16S ribosomal RNA
Rfam family: Bacterial small subunit ribosomal RNA
Source: RNAcentral
GAUGAACGCUGGCGGCGUGCCUAAUACAUGCAAGUCGAGCGAACAGACGAGGAGCUUGCUCCUCUGACGUUAGCGGCGGACGGGUGAGUAACACGUGGAUAACCUACCUAUAAGACUGGGAUAACUUCGGGAAACCGGAGCUAAUACCGGAUAAUAUAUUGAACCGCAUGGUUCAAUAGUGAAAGACGGUUUUGCUGUCACUUAUAGAUGGAUCCGCGCCGCAUUAGCUAGUUGGUAAGGUAACGGCUUACCAAGGCAACGAUGCGUAGCCGACCUGAGAGGGUGAUCGGCCACACUGGAACUGAGACACGGUCCAGACUCCUACGGGAGGCAGCAGUAGGGAAUCUUCCGCAAUGGGCGAAAGCCUGACGGAGCAACGCCGCGUGAGUGAUGAAGGCCUUCGGAUCGUAAAACUCUGUUAUUAGGGAAGAACAAAUGUGUAAGUAACUAUGCACGUCUUGACGGUACCUAAUCAGAAAGCCACGGCUAACUACGU